RNAcentral lists this ribosomal RNA (289 nucleotides) under Pleuragramma antarctica (Antarctic silverfish). RNAcentral describes it as "partial 18S ribosomal RNA". It matches the Rfam family "Eukaryotic small subunit ribosomal RNA", at positions 1313 to 1622 of the family's 1831-position model. The record is from RNAcentral. Lineage: Eukaryota; Metazoa; Chordata; Actinopteri; Perciformes; Nototheniidae.
GUCUGGUUAAUUCCGAUAACGAACGAGACUCCGGCAUGCUAACUAGUUACGCGGCCCCGUGCGGUCGGCGUCCAACUUCUUAGAGGGACAAGUGGCGUUCAGCCACACGAGAUUGAGCAAUAACAGGUCUGUGAUGCCCUUAGAUGUCCGGGGCUGCACGCGCGCCACACUGAGUGGAUCAGCGUGUGUCUACCCUUCGCCGAGAGGCGUGGGUAACCCGCUGAACCCCACUCGUGAUAGGGAUUGGGGAUUGCAAUUAUUUCCCAUGAACGAGGAAUUCCCAGUAAGC